UGCCCCUCAUUUUACAAAUGAGAAAACUGAGUCCCAGGCAAGUUAAAUGAGCUAGUUAGUAGCACAGCUGAGAUUAGAGCAGAGUUCUCAUGACUUUCAAAUCCAGUCCUCAUUUCACUAAAUCAUCUAUAAUUUGAUGUCUCACUAAUUUCUUUCGUCACUUCUUAUGUUGCUUCAGGCUAUUCCACUUGCUUUAUCUAUCCUCCUAUGAUCAUACCCCACAUGAAUAUAUGAUUUGGAUGAAGAUGAAAAUGAGGAUGAGGAUGAGAAUGGUGUUUGAUCCACUGUAAUCUCUUUCAAGAGGACCAGUUUGGUCCUUAUGCAACCAGUUUGGUCCUUAUGCAAAGGGAUAGAAGAUUUGCAUACAUUAAGAGGUUACUCUGUGGAGAUUAGACAAGGUGACAGUGACUUAAUGAUAGAUUGCUUUGCAGCAAAUUAAUUUGGUCCCAGCAUUUCUGUUAAACAAUGUGGAGAUAACAGAAACUGAUUAUCUUCUCCAAAUAUUCAGGAGACAGAAAAAAACUUAAUGACAGAAACAGAAAAGCACCCUCAGGUGCAAGGGACAGGAGGAAUGACAAGGAUACAAGCACAGACAUGGAAGGAACAAAUAGUCAAAAUAAUUUGUUUUCUAAGCAAUGAAGCCAUUUGUCUGGACCCAGUGACAUACCUAUUGAUCUCCUGUUUUCCUCUGGGGGGUAAAGAGCAACAGUCCACAGCCUGGAGGAGCAAAAGCUGGACAAAGAAACCUCUUAGUUAUGGCUGCUGCUAUGGCCUGAGGAUUUCUCCUGGUGUUAUAAGGGAUGAGUUCUUGGCAGAGGACCAAACUAAAUUAAUAGGGAGAGAAAAAAACCAGGAGCAAUGAAUAGAAGUUGCAAAGAGAUGAAUUUGGGCUUGAGAAUAAGGACAGGCUGGUAAAUUCUUUAGCCCAUUACUCAAAAUGUGCUGUGACAUUUAAUCUGAGUUGGUCAAUGAGAAGAGGUUCAGAAUUUGCUGAGUUCCAUAACUGUACAGCAUCUGAGAUUACCUUCCGUUUACUCUG
This is a long non-coding RNA of Phascolarctos cinereus (koala), 1039 nucleotides long. Lineage: Eukaryota; Metazoa; Chordata; Mammalia; Diprotodontia; Phascolarctidae. The record is from Ensembl.